Molecule: ribosomal RNA, 36 nt
Filed under: Vanilla planifolia
Lineage: Eukaryota; Viridiplantae; Streptophyta; Magnoliopsida; Asparagales; Orchidaceae
Description: partial large subunit ribosomal RNA
Source: RNAcentral
GUGACCCCAUGUUAGUGAGCUACCCGCUGAGUUAAA